GAUGAACGCUGGCGGCGUGCCUAAUACAUGCAAGUCGAGCGAACAGACGAGGAGCUUGCUCCUCUGACGUUAGCGGCGGACGGGUGAGUAACACGUGGAUAACCUACCUAUAAGACUGGGAUAACUUCGGGAAACCGGAGCUAAUACCGGAUAAUAUAUUGAACCGCAUGGUUCAAUAGUGAAAGACGGUUUUGCUGUCACUUAUAGAUGGAUCCGCGCCGCAUUAGCUAGUUGGUAAGGUAACGGCUUACCAAGGCAACGAUGCGUAGCCGACCUGAGAGGGUGAUCGGCCACACUGGAACUGAGACACGGUCAAGCCUCUGACGGGAGGCAGCAGUAGGGAAUCUUCCGAAAUGGGCGAAAGCCUGACGGAGCAACGCCGCGUGAGUGAUGAAGGUUUUCGGAUCGUAAAACUCUGUUAUUAGGGAAGAACAAAUGUGUAAGUAACUAUGCACGUCUUGACGGUACCUAAUCAGAAAGCCACGGCUAACUACGUG
Molecule: ribosomal RNA, 497 nt
Filed under: uncultured bacterium
Lineage: Bacteria
Description: partial 16S ribosomal RNA
Rfam family: Bacterial small subunit ribosomal RNA
Source: RNAcentral